This 119-nucleotide ribosomal RNA is filed under the name Salmo salar (Atlantic salmon). The record is from RNAcentral. Lineage: Eukaryota; Metazoa; Chordata; Actinopteri; Salmoniformes; Salmonidae.
GCUUACGGCCAUAUCAGCCUGGGUACGCCCGAUCUCGUCUGAUCUCGGAAGCUAAGCAGGGUCGGGCCUGGUUAGUACUUCGAUGGGAGACUGCCUGGGAAUACCAGGUGCUGUAAGCA